Molecule: ribosomal RNA, 252 nt
Filed under: uncultured bacterium
Lineage: Bacteria
Description: partial 16S ribosomal RNA
Rfam family: Bacterial small subunit ribosomal RNA
Source: RNAcentral
GACGGAGGAUGCAAGCGUUAUCCGGAAUGAUUGGGCGUAAAGCGUCCGCAGGUGGCAGUUCAAGUCUGCUGUCAAAGACCGGGGCUUAACUUGGAAAGGCAGUGGAAACUGAACAGCUAGAGUAUGGUAGGGGCAGAGGGAAUUCCUGGUGUAGCGGUGAAAUGCGUAGAGAUCAGGAAGAACAUCGGUGGCGAAGGCGCUCUGCUGGACCAUAACUGACACUCAGGGACGAAAGCUAGGGGAGCGAAUGGG